This 693-nucleotide small RNA is filed under the name Fimbristylis dichotoma group WHB 51980. RNAcentral describes it as "eukaryotic LSU rRNA". The stretch from base 270 to 424 matches the Rfam family "5.8S ribosomal RNA". The record is from RNAcentral. Lineage: Eukaryota; Viridiplantae; Streptophyta; Magnoliopsida; Poales; Cyperaceae.
GUAACAAGGUUUCCGUAGGUGAACCUGCGGAAGGAUCAUUGUUGUUGCCUUUACAAAACACGACCCGUGCACAUGUAAUGCAAAACUGCUGAGGGGGAAUGUUCUCCCCAGCCCUACCGGCCUCAAUCUUCGGUGUCCUUUAGGACAUGUUGGUUGUUGCACCGGAAAACGGCGCGGAUUGUCGCCAAGGAAUAUUAGAUCGCUGAGGUAGAUGACGACUAGCCGCAAGGUGUUGCGUUGUCUGCUGAGGCCAAAGCAAAAAACGAGAUGACUCCCGGCAACGGAUAUCUCGGCUCUCGCAUCGAUGAAGAACGUAGCGAAAUGCGAUACGUGGUGUGAAUUGCAGAAUCCCGUGAACCAUCGAGUCUUUGAACGCAAGUUGCGCCCGAGGGAUCAUCCUGAGGGCACGCCUGCCUCAUGGGCGUAAGAAGCCCAUCCACGCUCAGGUGCAUCAUUCUAGGUGUUCCUGAUGCGGACAUUGGCCCUCCGAGCCGCGAGGUUGCGACGGGCUCAAGUACAAGGGCUAUCGGCUGAGGUCGGGAGCGACGAGUGGUGGGCUACAAGCUAGCGUUCGUCGCCCCUCAACCUCACGUGAUGUAUGCCUUUAUUGACCCUUAACGAGCAUCACGUCGUGGCAGCGUUAUGCUGUGCGGCAUGUUCGGACUGAUACCCCAGGUCAGGCGUGGCCACCCG